Scylla paramamosain (green mud crab) is the source of this 762-nucleotide long non-coding RNA. RefSeq lists it as uncharacterized. The transcript has 3 exons. Lineage: Eukaryota; Metazoa; Arthropoda; Malacostraca; Decapoda; Portunidae. The record is from RefSeq and is a predicted model, not a curated record.
GUUAGUGCAAUCUGAACCGUGUCUCAGGAGGGGCGCCGCUUUAUUCUGUCUCCCUCUGCUGCUUAUUUAGGGCCUCAUCACGCUAAGCACCAUGGGAGCGACUUAAAUCAGUCUCGACGAGAACUCCAAGUAUUGCAUAAUUCAUACAUCUCACAAGCUCGUGGCCAAAAAACAAAAGAGCAUCAGUUACUGUGCACUAAGAGCGCUUAAGUACCUAAUCCCACGGUUAACAAUAGUGUUAGAUACUAUUAACUCAAACUGAACCCUAUUAAGCCAAGAUCUUUCACUCGCUUGUAGAAAAUCAUCAGAAAAUCGGGAGAAAUCGCCAGAAAAUCGGGAGAAAAUUGGAUUGUUUACCUGGGCCUGGUACUCACGUGGGAAGCACCAAAGUGUUUGCAAAGGUCCAGAUUCUGCCCUAGUAAGUGUAAAGUGAGAAUGGCUGACUUCGCCUCGGAUAACUCAGCCAACGACACGAGGGAGACCUUAUCCUCCCCCACCCCUAUCCACACCUCUGGCAUUUUCCCCCACACCUCCUCCUCCUCCUCCUCUACCUCCUCCUCCUCCUUCCCCCCCACAAUGACUGAAAGACUGAUGGCGAUGGUGAUGGUGGAGGCAGAGUGUCAGGCUGAUGCUAAGAAAUCUGGCAAGCAGGAUGACGUCACUACGAGUCAACACACACACACACACACACACACACACACACACACACACACACACACACACACACACACACACACACACACACACACACACACACACACA